UGUGUAGGCGGUGGCUUAAGUUUGGUGUGAAAUCCCCAGGCUCAACUUGGGAACUGCAUCCGAUACUGGAUGGCUUGAAUUCGGGAGAGGGAUGCAGAAUUCCAGGUGUAGCGGUGAAAUGCGUAGAUAUCUGGAGGAAUACCGGUGGCGAAGGCGGCAUCCUGGACCGACAUUGACGCUGAACGGCGAAAGCUAGGGGAGCAAACG
Molecule: ribosomal RNA, 207 nt
Filed under: uncultured bacterium
Lineage: Bacteria
Description: partial 16S ribosomal RNA
Rfam family: Bacterial small subunit ribosomal RNA
Source: RNAcentral